GACGAACGCUGGCGGCGUGCUUAACACAUGCAAGUCGAGCGGUAAGGCCCUUUCGGGGGUACACGAGCGGCGAACGGGUGAGUAACACGUGGGUGACCUGCCCUCAGCUCUGGGAUAAGCCUGGGAAACCGGGUCUAAUACUGGAUAUGACUCCAUGACGCAUGUUGUGGGGUGGAAAGCCUUGUGCGGCUGAGGAUGGGCCCGCGGCCUAUCAGCUUGUUGGUGGGGUGANGGCCUACCAAGGCGACGACGGUAGCCGGCCUGAGAGGCGACCGGCCACACUGGGACUGAGACACGGCCCAGACUCCUACGGGAGGCAGCAGUGGGGAAUCUUGCGCAAUGGGCGAAAGCCUGACGCAGCGACGCCGCGUGAGGGAU
This 378-nucleotide ribosomal RNA is filed under the name uncultured bacterium. Its description in RNAcentral is "bacterial SSU rRNA". It matches the Rfam family "Bacterial small subunit ribosomal RNA", at positions 28 to 409 of the family's 1533-position model. The record is from RNAcentral.